RNAcentral lists this ribosomal RNA (494 nucleotides) under uncultured bacterium. Its description in RNAcentral is "bacterial SSU rRNA". It matches the Rfam family "Bacterial small subunit ribosomal RNA", at positions 15 to 518 of the family's 1533-position model. The record is from RNAcentral.
GAUCCUGGCUCAGAAUGAACGCUGGCGGCGUGCCUCAGGCAUGCAAGUCGAACGAGAAAGUUCCUUCGGGGAUGAGUAUAGUGGCGCACGGGUGAGUAAUACUUAGGUAACGUACCUUUUCGCUGGGGAUAGCUAAGGGAAACUUUAGAUAAUACCGAAUAUAUCCAUUUUUUACUGCGGUUUAAAUGGAGAAAGCCGUAAGGCGCGGAAAGAGCGGCCUGGGUCUCAUUAGUUUGUUGGUGGGGUAAUGGCCUACCAAGACUACGAUGAGUAGCUGGUCUGAGAGGACGAUCAGCCACACUGGAACUGGAACACGGUCCAGACUCCUACGGGAGGCAGCAGUCGGGAAUUUUACACAAUGGGGGGAAAAACCCCCUGAUGUAGCAACGCCGCGUGAGUGAUGAAGGUCUUCGGAUCGUAAAGCUCUUUUAAUAGGGAAGAAAAAAUGACGGUACCUAUAGAAAAGCACCGGCUAACUCCGUGCCAGCCGCGGC